UUGAGACUUUUGAUGCUAAAUUCUUCAAGGAAAAGCUUCUGAAAGACCAAUGUCAGUCUCCUGAGGCCAAGUAACAGCUGGAUUAUCUGCCUUCCAUGACUAGCCUAUCAGCAGUCUGAUGGGGCAGAAGACAUCAGAGAUGGAAGGUGUUCCAAACUUGGCAAAGGCCAUCAUUCUAAGGAGAUACAGCAAUAUUUAGCACCCUUCCGUUCAGUUCCAGGCACCAUCCCUUGUCAGUAUACAGAUAUAAUGCAUUCCUUUUAACAUUACCUUUUGUGGUUGUAUUUGAAAAACGUGUGUUCAGGUACUAUUUUAUACUCUUUACAAGUAAUAACUCACUUAAUCCUAAUAUCAUCUCUGAUAUGCUGCCAUUAUUCGUCAGUUAUAAAUAAGUGA
This is a long non-coding RNA of Myotis brandtii (Brandt's bat), 396 nucleotides long. RefSeq lists it as uncharacterized. The record is from RefSeq and is a predicted model, not a curated record. The transcript is spliced from 3 exons. Lineage: Eukaryota; Metazoa; Chordata; Mammalia; Chiroptera; Vespertilionidae.